GCAUAUUUUUCAAAGAAUUCCAAAAGUUACAUCUCCACUUAGGGUGCGUGGUGGCCUUACUGGACUUUACUCAUACUUAUCGAAAGCUGUCCCUCGCUGCCAUGGGGAGAAGCUUCAGCUCCUGGUACCUCAUCUACCAGGAGUCAUGCCAUGGCUGUACACUUGUGCAUACAUCAGAGUGCAACAAUAAGGUCUAUGCAGGAUCCCACAAAACCGCAAGAGCCUCCAUAGAUCAUGUCUCGCUAUGAACAAGAUGAUGCCUGAUUCCUUUUGCUGUCGUUUGCAAUGGCUGUUGGGAUUUUGGGGAAAAAAAUCAAACGC
Molecule: non-coding RNA, 321 nt
Organism: Pelobates cultripes (western spadefoot toad)
Lineage: Eukaryota; Metazoa; Chordata; Amphibia; Anura; Pelobatidae
Source: the annotation of a GenBank genome assembly